GAGCCAAACUCAGGAGGGCCCCUGUCACAGGACAGGUAUGUUCACAAUCUUUAUUCCUCACAAAAAGGGAGGAACCAUUGUUCCUAUUUUACGGAUAAGGAUCAUGAUUCUCAUCAAAUCCAGAAUACAAAAAGAAAACAGCCAAGAAUAGGCAAAUCCACAGAGACAGAAAGUAGAUUAGUGGUUGCCAGGGCUGAGGGUGUGAGAGAAUGGGGGGUCACUGCUAAAGGGUAAGGAGUUUCUUAUUGGGGGUGAUACGAAUGUCUUAAAAUUAGAUAGUAGUGAUGAUUGUACCACCUGGGUAUGUACUAAAUCUCACUAUACUGGCCACCUCAAAAGAGUGAAUUUUAAAGGUACAUGAAUUAUAUCUCAAUAAGGCUGAUACAAACAAGAAGGAAAGAAAGAAGGAAGGGAGGAAAGAGAAGAGAGACGGAAAUGACAAGGCAGCAUGAAGUCUGUUGCUGAGGAGACGUUUCACACACAAGAUCCAGAAUAACCAGCAAAACCCUAGGAGGAAGACCAGGCCCAGACUAUGAUUCUGAACACACCGUAGUAGCAGAUGAAGGGCUUCUGAGCAGUGCACGAGGCGGCCCCCAGGCUGGGGAAAAUGGCUAUUGAAUACAGAGUGGCACAGAGACCCUCAUCGAAGACGGAGGCGAGCUCCACACUGGCACGCUGAAGGUGGAGCCGCUGGACCAUCUCAGGCCCCCAAGGCGCACGUGGAAGAAGAGGGCGAUCCAGGCUGCGGUGCUGCUGAGGCCAAGAAGAUGCUGCCUGUCGCUGAGAGAAGUUGAAGGAUCCCUGGGCAGGAGAAAAGGAAUAGAAAGAAACUACGUUCUUGUGAUAUGUGAUUCAUUUUGAUAUUUGUUUAUCCUAUUCUGUUUAUUUUUAAAAAAUCAGUGGCUGUGGUCCACUAAAUUGACUUUAGGAUGUAAUGGGUCCCAACCCACAGUGUGAAAAACCUUGCUGCCCCAGCU
Molecule: long non-coding RNA, 977 nt
Filed under: Monodon monoceros (narwhal)
Lineage: Eukaryota; Metazoa; Chordata; Mammalia; Artiodactyla; Monodontidae
Description: lncRNA (ENSMMNG00015011961.1)
Source: RNAcentral